RNAcentral lists this ribosomal RNA (212 nucleotides) under uncultured bacterium. RNAcentral's name for it is "partial 16S ribosomal RNA". It matches the Rfam family "Bacterial small subunit ribosomal RNA", at positions 524 to 733 of the family's 1533-position model. The record is from RNAcentral.
UACAGAGGGUGCGAGCGUUGUUCGGAAUUAUUGGGCGUAAAGCGCUUGUAGGCGGCUUGUUAAGUUCCGUGUGAAAUCCCCAGGCUUAACCUGGGGAAGUGCGCGGAAAACUGGCGAGCUUGAGUGCCGGAGAGGGUCGCGGAAUUCCCGGUGUAGAGGUGAAAUUCGUAGAUAUCGGGGAGGAACACCAGUGGCGAAGGCGGCGACCUGGA